AACGAACGCUGGCGGCAUGCCUAACACAUGCAAGUCGAACGAGACCUUCGGGUCUAGUGGCGCACGGGUGCGUAACGCGUGGGAACCUGCCUUUAGGUUCGGAAUAACUCAGAGAAAUUUGAGCUAAUACCGGAUGAUGUCUUCGGACCAAAGAUUUAUCGCCUUUAGAUGGGCCCGCGUUGGAUUAGCUAGUUGGUGGGGUAAAGGCCUACCAAGGCGACGAUCCAUAGCUGGCCUGAGAGGAUGAUCAGCCACACUGGGACUGAGACACGGCCCAGACUCCUACGGGAGGCAGCAGUGGGGAAUAUUGGACAAUGGGCGAAAGCCUGAUCCAGCAAUGCCGCGUGAGUGAUGAAGGCCUUAGGGUUGUAAAGCUCUUUUACCCGAGAUGAUAAUGACAGUAGCGGGAGAAUAAGCUCCGGCUAACUCCGUG
Molecule: ribosomal RNA, 433 nt
Filed under: uncultured bacterium
Lineage: Bacteria
Description: partial 16S ribosomal RNA
Rfam family: Bacterial small subunit ribosomal RNA
Source: RNAcentral